This 73-nucleotide transfer RNA is filed under the name Parcubacteria group bacterium GW2011_GWA2_38_13b. RNAcentral describes it as "tRNA-Lys". It matches the Rfam family "tRNA". From Rfam's summary of the family: Transfer RNA (tRNA) molecules are approximately 80 nucleotides in length. Their secondary structure includes four short double-helical elements and three loops (D, anti-codon, and T loops). The record is from RNAcentral.
GCGUCCAUAGCUCAAUCGGUAGAGCAGAUGGCUCUUAACCAUAAGGUUCCAGGUUCGAUUCCUGGUGGACGCA